Molecule: long non-coding RNA, 1229 nt
Organism: Felis catus (domestic cat)
Lineage: Eukaryota; Metazoa; Chordata; Mammalia; Carnivora; Felidae
Exons: 3
Source: RefSeq, a predicted model, not a curated record
AACUCAUUUUCACUCAGCACAGACUUUCUGCCAGACCUGGAAGAGUUCUCUUCCCUUUCUAUUUGUUACAGCCUGUCCAAGUCAAAAUUCAAGCCUUGCCAGCUUCUAGCUACGUGACCUUGGGCAAUUCCACAAAUCUCUUUUCUUUGGUCUUCUUAUCUGUAAAAUGGCGAGAAUAACAGCAUAGUCCUUGCUGUCAGGUUUAAAUUACUUAAGGCAUCUCUAGGAUUCUGAGACGUGAGAUAGGUGUUGGCUGUUAUAAAAUGACCCUCAGUGUCACAAGCGUUGCAUCCUUAUUCUGCUCUCUCUAAAGAUUUUUUUUUUUUUUCCUCCUCUCUGUUUCUCAGGUGGUAAAAGGCUCACGGAGGCCAGCCGAGCGUGUCCGGAGUCGCAAGGAGAGCUCGGCAGGGUCGGGUUUCAAAACCGGAGCUCUCUGUGCAUUGUGACGCAUACCAUUCUGGCUGGCUGUUCCCACUGAUUCCGACGCCUGCGCCCUCGGGCUCUGCCGGUGUCGGGUCCUGGUUUGCGCUGUGGUUGUUCGCUUCCGGACUUGCCUUUUAGCUGACUAUGGCUUCAGAUCAUCCCGGGGUCUUCGUAACUGCGUGGGAGCCAAGCACCAUGAGGGCAGGUAGGAAGGAGUACUUUUUAAUUCGCGUAUUAGCGAUGCUGUUGGCUGCAAAUGACGGAAACCCACCUCAACCUGCCUCGGAGGAAGAGAUUGGAAUAAUGGCUUCAGAAGACCAGGAAUUUCACAGGGCACGUCCGGCUUCAGGGACGCCCCUCUCCUCCGAGUCCGUAUCACUUUCACUGGGCAUUCGUCUCCGCCACUCCUUCUGCUCUGGCUCAGUGUCAGUCUCUCCCGAAUGGGGUGAAGAAGGCCACCAGCAGCUCCAGGCUCCUGCACUUGUAAAAUGGCGGCCCUGUGAGGGGACGGCCCUCUCCCGGUGGCCACACAGCAUUCCCGUGGCUGACGUGAUGGGUCUUCCUCGGAUCUUAUGCCCACGUGUGAACCCGGACUGGAGAGAUGGCUUCUCUGAUGGACUGGGUUGUGAGCUCACCUUAGAGACAGAGAAGGGGUCAGCCCUGUCCGGCCUCACAACCAGAACACGGAAACGGGUGCCCGGGCGGCUCAGUCAGUCGGGCGUCUGACUUCGGCUCAGAUCACGGUCUCGGGGUUCGUGAGUUCGAGCCCCACGUCGGGGUCUGUGCUGACAGCUUGGAGCCUGGAG